Molecule: ribosomal RNA, 464 nt
Filed under: uncultured bacterium
Lineage: Bacteria
Description: partial 16S ribosomal RNA
Rfam family: Bacterial small subunit ribosomal RNA
Source: RNAcentral
CUACGGGGUGCUGCAGUGGGGAAUAUUGCACAAUGGGCGCAAGCCUGAUGCAGCCAUGCCGCGUGUAUGAAGAAGGCCUUCGGGUUGUAAAGUACUUUCAGCGGGGAGGAAGGGAGUAAAGUUAAUACCUUUGCUCAUUGACGUUACCCGCAGAAGAAGCACCGGCUAACUCCGUGCCAGCAGCCGCGGUAAUACGGAGGGUGCAAGCGUUAAUCGGAAUUACUGGGCGUAAAGCGCACGCAGGCGGUUUGUUAAGUCGGAUGUGAAAUCCCCGGGCUCAACCUGGGAACUGCAUCUGAUACUGGCAAGCUUGAGUCUCGUAGAGGGGGGUAGAAUUCCAGGUGUAGCGGUGAUAUGCGUAGAGAUCUGGAGGAAUACCGGUGGCGAAGGCGGCCCCCUGGACGAAGACUGACGCUCAGGUGCGAAAGCGUGGGGAGCAAACAGGAUUAGAUACCCUCGUAGUC